UCGACUGUAGCCUUCUCUCUUGUUUAUGUGUAGCUCUCGAAAGUACAUUGCGACAAACGCUGAGGACUUUGGCAUCAAUAUGGGGUGCUUUGUUUCAUAGUCAAGAGGGCGUUUAGCAGUCUACCUCCGACCCGAAUAAGCGAAAAAUUUCUACCGGAGUCUAAAUCCUGCUGGAUAAAUGGAGUCAGCGCUUGCAAGCCUGGCUGAAGAAGAUUACCUUUUUUAAUUUGGCAAACACUUCUGAAAAUUCAGAGCGCUGCACCAGCUCGAAUAACUUAAGCGUUGCGAAGUUUAACUCCUUAACACUUAAUUCCAAAGUACUGCGUUUCUCAGCUGAUCGAAAUAUGAAUCUGAAUAUGAAGGACACGAAUUUAUCUAAUGUUGUGUGAUUUCCGAGUCGGUCCAAAAAUAAGCACUCUCGAUUCUGCAUUUGGCAAGCAUUUCUUUAACGUGAGAGUAUUUGGCGUUCACCUCACACCGAAGGUCUUAGUUGAAUCGGAAUCAUUAAAAUUCACCGAUUUUUCAUAUUCGUUAGCAUCUGUAUUAUGCAGUGAGCAUAUCGUCGACAUAAAAGUCAUUGCAAACAACCUCUGCAUCUAUCGGGAUAAUGUCUUAAUGACGAACUCCUAGCUCCUGUAAGCACCGAAUUGCAAGAAAUGGUGCAGAAGCUGUGCCGUAGGUAACCGUGUUCAACCGAAAAACUUGAAGCUCAUCAGAUGGGCUUUCACGCCAACCAAUGAGUUGGGACCAGCGGUUUUUUUUCGGAUAUGCUCACUUGUAGAGCUGGAAAAAACAUCGAUGUUAACAUCGAUGUAUCGAUAUUUGGGCAAUAUCGAAAACAUCGAUGUUUUAUUUGCCAAUAUCGAUAAUCGGGUACUUUUUGGAAAUUCGACAGCAAACUAGCAGCAAGAAAAAUUUUUGGAAGUAGUGGUGUUGGCAAGAAGUGUGGAUGUAACGUGGAUGCAUACAAUGGAUAAAUAUCUACAAACACAAUUACAAAUGAGAAAUUAAAGGAAGUCCAAGGUGAUGAAAACCCACUAGGAGUUAUUCAAGAGGUGCCGACAAGGUGGAACAGUGCCUUCUUGAUGAUUGACCGGUUACUCAAGAUUAAUCAGUACAUUUCGGAAGUACUUCUUAACACCCUAAAAGCUCCAACGCCUAUUUCGGCAGAGGAAAUUAAAAUUUUAAAAGAGCUUGCGAAAAUAUUACGACCAUUUAAUGAUGCUACUGAAAUCGUAUCGGCUGAUAAAACCGUGAUUAUAUCGCUAAUAAUCCCAACAAUUUGUGAACUGAAGCAUAAAAUGAGUGCUAUUGCAGCUGAGCCAAUGUCAGGCAUAGCUACUGCCGUACAGACAUUAAUUAAUAGACGGCUGGCCGAACGUCUUUUUCCGUACGAAAAGCGAAAUAUUGCAACAAUUGCCACUUUAAUAGAUGCCCGAUUCAAAAAGGAAGGGUUUAAAUAGUGUUAAUGCCGAAGAAGGAAGAAAUUUGCAGAUAUUUAUCAAAACACCCACGGGAGUUGCCAACACUACACGAUUCAGCAAAAAAACUUAAAUUUGGAUUCUUAAAAGAAAAAAUUGCUGCUAAAGCACUUACAAAUCGGUCAGAUGCCAUAAUUGCGAUUAUGCAAUAUUUGGAAAAACCAAACGAAUCCGAGGAAUGCGACCCAUUAGAAUUUUGGAAGGCAAGCAGUGAAGAAUCAUUAAAAUCUGUAGCCAGGCAGAUAAUGUGUGUACCAGCCACAUCAUGUGCACUUUUAGUAAAGCUGGCCAAAUUAUUACUCAACGCCGAAGCUCCUUAAAAAGCGGAAUCGUAGAUAAGUUGAUAUUUCUCAACAAAAAUAUUGAUCUCAUAAAUAAAGAAUAAAUUAAAAUAA
This is a long non-coding RNA of Scaptodrosophila lebanonensis, 1876 nucleotides long. RefSeq lists it as uncharacterized. The transcript has 4 exons. The record is from RefSeq and is a predicted model, not a curated record. Lineage: Eukaryota; Metazoa; Arthropoda; Insecta; Diptera; Drosophilidae.